UAAUAUAAUAGAAAAAAAAAGAGAAAAACUGAAAAUCUUGAGCUUCCCAUUUUCCGCAGUGGCUAUAUAUUCUUCCGAGACCUUCAAUGCCCUCCCUUUCUCUCUCACAAACCUCUCCUUCUCUCUCUGGAAAGACACAUUUUUUAAUCUCGUAAUACUCAUCUGUUUGGUAACUGAAUUUGCAUUGGUUAAUCACCAUCGAAAGAACAAACAAAAGGAUUGGAGGGGGCGUAUAUGGGGAGGAGGUUGAACAUGCCCUCUGUUCUUAUUCUUACAGUGCCUCCUCUCAGAUCUUAAUUUUCUGCGCGAUUUGGCAUCUGGGUUUUCGUUAAUCUGCCGGUGUGCAUAAUUCUGGGUCCUGUAUUUGAUCGGUGAAGGAUCGGAUGCUUCUAAAUUAAAUCCAGGAACACUUGUUUUUGAAUCGGACUACAAUCUGUGUUCUUAAUAUUUAAAAAAUAAGUGAAAAUGCAAUCCGAUAGUGGUAAGUUGUUUAUCGGCGGCAUAUCUUGGGAUACAAAUGAGGAGCGGCUAAAAGAGUAUUUCAGCAGUUUCGGGGAGGUGGUAGAAGCAGUGAUAAUGAAGGAUCGGACCACAGGCCGUGCUCGUGGUUUUGGUUUUGUAGUUUUUUCUGACCCAGCUGUGGCGGACAGUGUCAUAAUGGAGAAGCACAACAUCGAUGGAAGGAUGGUUGAAGCGAAAAAGGCUGUUCCCAGGGAUGACCAGAAUAUUUUGGGUAGAAGCAGUGGCAGCAUCCAGGGUUCUCCAGGUCCAGGUCGCACAAGAAAGAUUUUUGUUGGAGGUUUAGCAUCCACUGUCACGGAGAGUGACUUUAAGAAGUACUUUGAACAGUUUGGAACAAUCACGGAUGUUGUGGUGAUGUAUGAUCACAACACCCAGAGGCCGAGAGGCUUUGGAUUCAUCACUUAUGAUUCAGAGGAGGCAGUGGACAGGGUUUUGCUUAAGACAUUUCAUGAACUGAACGGGAAAAUGGUUGAGGUAAAGCGAGCAGUUCCGAAAGAGUUAUCACCUGGUCCCAGUCGCAGCCCUCUUGCAGGAUACAACUAUGGUCUCAGUAGGGUCAGUAGCUUCCUUAGUGGCUACACUCAGGGGUAUAAUCCAAGUACAGUUGGAGGCUAUGGCCUUGGUAGAUUCAGUUCAGUUGCAGGUGGUCGAAGUGGAUUUCCUCCAUAUGGUUCUGGUUAUGGAAUUGGUAUGAAUUAUGAGCCAGGGUUGAGUCCAGGAUUUAGUGGAAAUGCAAAUUUUAAUAGUACUAUGAGCUAUGGGCGGGGUUUGAGUCCUUAUUAUAUCAAUAAUUCAAAUAGGUUUAGCAGCCCCAUUGGGUAUGAUGGCGGUAAUGGAGGAAACACAUCUUCGUUUUUCAGCUCAGUCACUCGGAACUUGUGGGAGAAUGGGAAUGGGAAUGACGGUGGUCUUAAUUAUGGAACAAACUCCACAAAUGCCAAUUCUUACAUCGGAUCAGGAAGUGGGACCAUUGGAGGAAGUACGUUUGGAAAUACUGGAAAUAAUUGGCCUUCUUCAGCAAUGUCAGCUCAAGUCGGAGGAAAUAAUGUUUCUAACAAUAGCAGGAAUCUUGGUUAUGGAGUUGGGGAUAACAGUUACAAUCUGGGAACUGGAGGGUAUGGAAGAAACAGUGGUGCAAGUGUGGCCCCUACAUCUUCAUUUGCUGCAUCAAAUGGUGGUUUUGAUGGGACCUUCACUGACUUUUACAGUAGCGGUUCAGUAUAUGGAGAUCCUACUUGGCGUUCAUCAAAUUCCGAUCGAGAUGGACCUGGUCCCUUUGGUUAUGGGCUUGGCGGUGCAGGCUCUGAUGUAUCAGCUAAAAGUUCUCCUGGUUAUGUUGGUGGUUAUAGUGUUAAUAAGAGACAGCCAAAUACAGGUUAUCUUCACUAGUAAAGUGGCUUUGAUGUUCAUAACUUGAGCUUGAAGGCAUGCAUAUUAAAGAAUUGCUGCCUAGGAUCGUCAUGUCUGAUAUCACGACAUUGUAGGUGAAGAUAAUGAAGCAGGUGAACUGUGAAUUUUGCACACCACCGCCGUUUAUAUAUCUCAGUAAGAGAGAUUUGGUUAGUAAGAGCUAACUGGGAGUGGCUGUUUUAAAGAAGUUAGAGUUAGAAGCUAAAAAUGGAUUUUGUGUUAAUGCAUUGAGUUUUGAGUUACCAAUUUUAGGGUUUUUCGGUUUUGUUUUGGUCUAUGAGUGAGAUGUAAAAUCAGAUUGCGGGAUAUAGUCAGAAGUGUAUCAUGCAUCUCCGGUGAGGCGGUGAUACCCAAAAGAAAAAGAGAGAAAAGGAAAGAAAAAAAAGAGAGAAACUGAUAUAUAUUUUUUUCCCUCUUAGAAUUUUAUCUGUAAAAUCUUCUGGCCAAGUUGUGGGUUCUGGUCAGGGAAUGCUUCUUCUUCUUCUUUUUUUCCCAAUCAUUUGGUUUGUUUUUAUUGUACCUGAGCUGAGAUUAAUGUUGAUUUACUAUUAGUGUGAAACAUUUUAAGGGUUUACCCAUCUAGGGACCCCCAUCAAUAAGUAAUCGCAUAUCCUGAUC
Malus domestica (apple) is the source of this 2550-nucleotide RNA transcript. It is a transcript of the gene named heterogeneous nuclear ribonucleoprotein 1-like, with no coding region annotated. NCBI's taxonomy places the organism in Eukaryota, Viridiplantae, Streptophyta, Magnoliopsida, Rosales, Rosaceae. The record is from RefSeq and is a predicted model, not a curated record.